This 270-nucleotide unclassified non-coding RNA is filed under the name uncultured fungus. RNAcentral's name for it is "sequence contains ITS1, 5.8S rRNA gene". The stretch from base 222 to 270 matches the Rfam family "5.8S ribosomal RNA", at positions 1 to 49 of the family's 154-position model. Lineage: Eukaryota; Fungi. The record is from RNAcentral.
UCUCCGUUGGUGAACCAGCGGAGGGAUCAUUGCCGAGUCUCACGACUCCCAAACCAUCGCGAACCUACCAGUACGUUGCCUCGGCAGAGCCUACCCGGUAACUGUUCGGAGAAGCUACCCUGUAGCUACCCUAUAACGGCCUACCCUGUAACGCACUGCCGGUGGACUUUUAAACUCUUGUUAUUUUAUAGUAAUCUGAGCGUCUUAUUUUAAUAAGUCAAAACUUUCAACAACGGAUCUCUUGGUUCUGGCAUCGAUGAAGAACGCAGC